CCUACGGGAGGCAGCAGUGGGGAAUUUUGCACAAUGGGCGCAAGCCUGAUCCAGCCAUGCCGCGUAUAUGAAGAAGGCCUUCGGGUUGUAAAGUACUUUCAGCGAGGAGGAAGCGUUAUGG
This 121-nucleotide ribosomal RNA is filed under the name uncultured bacterium. RNAcentral describes it as "partial 16S ribosomal RNA". It matches the Rfam family "Bacterial small subunit ribosomal RNA", at positions 338 to 458 of the family's 1533-position model. The record is from RNAcentral.